GGAGAGAGGGAGAGAGAGAGAGUGAUGGAAAAGAAAACCAUUCGAUGCACGAAUUGAAGGCACUGCUACUAAUUAAUUAAUUCCACAUAGAAUCUCGGUGUUUUGCAAUGUUGAGCUAUAUUAUUAUGCUUUUAACUUGAGCUUUGUUUGCCUGUUGGCCACGUUUGGUGUCAAUAUUGCAAGUCUUUUUUAACACAAAAGCAACACCCACUGCAAAUUAUCCGGGCUACAGAGCCGGCGGCGGUAGUAUUGUGCACUUCUUCCCAUUCAACCGUGCGAGCGCCCCAAUCAGUCGACGUGCUGUGGCAUCACCUCAGUGUCAGAUAUUCUUCUCAUCCAGUUGCGUUUCAGCACGUCUGAGGUGUUUGCUCACACAGGCAGCACACUCACUCACAGAAAUUCUUUGGCAAAUAAGUGCGGUGUGUGGAAUUGUGGCAGAGAAGAGUGGGACAAGCACGUGAAACAGAACAAGGACAAAGAUGAAGCUACUACUAAAGGUACAUCGGCGAGAAUCUGACAAUCGUCGUCGAUCUGGUCUGAAUGUUAAUGCAAAUCACACACAUCCAACUCCCGUGGACACGUCCUCGAAAUAUUCUUCAAGUGCUGUGUCAGUUCCGAGUAGCAGUCACGUCAAAUCUCAGAAUCUCCCCUAUAUUUCACUUAUUCUUCUUGUACUGUUGGGAUGUGCUCUUGGUCUCACCUACGUCUUCCAGCGAUUUCUCCAAGAAACGGAAAUUCCCACACGAUGAAAGGAAAACUCCUUGAGAGACUUUCCUCCAUACCACAUACAUUAAUUGCCAUCAAUUAGCAUCAUUAUAUUCUUCGAAAAAGGAACUUUAUCGUGAUAUAUGUAUAUUUGAAUGGGAAACAGCUUCCUGUGACCUCUAACUGUUUGCAGCUCUUUUUUAUAAAUACACUUAAAACCUAUACCCAUGUAACCACAUUCACCUUUUUAUAUUACUUAAGAUGGGUAAGGAAAUAAAGAUGAGUUUAUAUAUAAAAAAAA
Long non-coding RNA from Lutzomyia longipalpis, 1006 nucleotides. RefSeq lists it as uncharacterized. Lineage: Eukaryota; Metazoa; Arthropoda; Insecta; Diptera; Psychodidae. The record is from RefSeq and is a predicted model, not a curated record. The transcript has 3 exons.